RNAcentral lists this ribosomal RNA (450 nucleotides) under uncultured bacterium. RNAcentral describes it as "partial 16S ribosomal RNA". It matches the Rfam family "Bacterial small subunit ribosomal RNA", at positions 354 to 796 of the family's 1533-position model. The record is from RNAcentral.
GUGGGGAAUAUUGGACAAUGGGCGAAAGCCUGAUCCAGCCAUGCCGCGUGUGUGAAGAAGGUCUUCGGAUUGUAAAGCACUUUAAGUUGGGAGGAAGGGCAGUAAGUUAAUACCUUGCUGUUUUGACGUUACCGACAGAAUAAGCACCGGCUAACUUCGUGCCAGCAGCCGCGGUAAUACGAAGGGUGCAAGCGUUAAUCGGAAUUACUGGGCGUAAAGCGCGCGUAGGUGGUUCAGCAAGUUGGAGGUGAAAUCCCCGGGCUCAACCUGGGAACUGCCUCCAAAACUACUGGGCUAGAGUACGGUAGAGGGUAGUGGAAGUUCCUGUGUAGUGGUGAAAUGCGUAGAUAUAGGAAGGAACACCAGUGGCGAAGGCGACUACCUGGACUGAUACUGACACUGAGGUGCGAAAGCGUGGGGAGCAAACAGGAUUAGAAACCCCUGUAGUCC